UGAGGGAAUAUUGGGUCAAUGGGGCGAGAGCCUGAACCAGCCAAGUAGCGUGCAGGAUGACGGCCCUACGGGUUGUAAACUGCUUUUAUGAAGGAAUAAUGAGGGUCACGCGUGGCCCGUUGCAUGUACUUCAUGAAUAAGGACCGGCUAAUUCCGUGCCAGCAGCCGCGGUAAUACGGAAGGUCCGGGCGUUAUCCGGAUUUAUUGGGUUUAAAGGGAGCGUAGGCCGCCCCGUAAGCGUGUUGUGAAAAGCCGUGGCUCAACCAUGGUCGUGCAGCGCGAACUGCGGGGCUUGAGUGUGCGGAAAGUGGGCGGAAUUCGUGGUGUAGCGGUGAAAUGCUUAGAUAUCACGAAGAACUCCGAUUGCGAAGGCAGCUCACUGUAGCAUUACUGACGCUGAAGUUCGAAAGUGCGGGUAUCGAACAGGAUUAGAUACCCUGGUAGU
RNAcentral lists this ribosomal RNA (445 nucleotides) under uncultured Prevotella sp. RNAcentral's name for it is "bacterial SSU rRNA". It matches the Rfam family "Bacterial small subunit ribosomal RNA", at positions 354 to 794 of the family's 1533-position model. Lineage: Bacteria; Pseudomonadati; Bacteroidota; Bacteroidia; Bacteroidales; Prevotellaceae. The record is from RNAcentral.